AUACCCUACGGAGCGCCUGGGUCCGCCGCAUCUCCUGGGUCCGUGGGGCAAGGCCGGCGCGGUGUCUGCCCGAUGAGUGGCCUCCUCGGAUUGGCAGUCCCGCGCCGGCCGCCAC
RNAcentral lists this small RNA (115 nucleotides) under Pannonibacter phragmitetus. Its description in RNAcentral is "EcpR1". It matches the Rfam family "EcpR1". Rfam says of the family: Perviously named SmelC291, SmrC10, or Sra33. The record is from Rfam by way of RNAcentral. Lineage: Bacteria; Pseudomonadati; Pseudomonadota; Alphaproteobacteria; Hyphomicrobiales; Stappiaceae.